GACGAACGCUGGCGGCGUGCUUAACACAUGCAAGUCGAACGGAAAGGCCCUGCCUUUGUGGGGUGCUCGAGGGGCGAACGGGUGAGUAACACGUGAGUAACCUGCACUUUACUGUGGGAUAACUUAAGGAAACUGGGGCUAAUACCGGAUAGGAGCUCCUGCUGCAUGGUGGGGGUUGGAAAGUUUCGGUGGUUGGGGAUGGACUCGCGGCUUAUCAGCUUGUUGGUGGGGUAGUGGCUUACCAAGGCUUUGACGGGUAGCCGGCCUGGGAGGGUAACCGGCCCAAUUGGGCCUGGACUACGGCCCAGCCCCGUACGGGAGGGAGAGGAGGGGAAUGUUGAACAAGGGGCGGAGCCCUAACGCAGUACAGCAGUGUCGGGGAUGCGGGCCUUCGGUUUGUAAACCGCUUCCGCCUGUGCCGAGGUGUUAGUGACGGUAACGGGAGAAGAAGCACCGGCUAACUACGUG
Molecule: ribosomal RNA, 468 nt
Filed under: uncultured bacterium
Lineage: Bacteria
Description: partial 16S ribosomal RNA
Rfam family: Bacterial small subunit ribosomal RNA
Source: RNAcentral